AUAUGCGUUCUGUGCAGGUCUUUGGAUACGUCCCGUCGAUGUGGAAGCACCGCGACGGCCACGAGUGCCUUCGGUGUGAGACCCAUGCGCAUGCCAAAGGCUCUCUCUCCAACCACGAUGAACGCUUCGCCGCGAGUCUCGCUGCUCGAUUCAGGGCUCAGACUGGCAAUAUGCACGUAGACUGGUAUUCCGUCGGUCUCCAUGGUACCAGGAACCUGCUUUCCGUUUCCUCACUGUGAGCAGGCAACCCUGAACAUGCUUCGUUCGUGCUCUUAGCAGCGUUGUCCACAGAGACCAGCGGUCGCUCUCUGCGCAGACUAUGCAGUACACUGCAAGAUUGUCGACCGCGACGCAGAGGAACUCUCGGCGACGCAUAUGGUGGCUGUCCCAGGUGGUCGCUAGAGGAGGCUGGGGCGCUCGCAUUCGGAGAGCAAGGGCGCUUUUCUCUCGCGGAACCUGUUCAUGCUGAGGCUGUAGCACAAGGUGCGAGGAGGGCACGUACCACGUUUCGACCAACCCGUGGGUACGAUGUCCGUCGGUAUCAGGCUGCCAGCAAUACGAUGAGCUUUGAGGAUCGGGAUCGACUUGUGCGCUCUCAGUGACGUUUCCUCGGAACUCGCGACCACCUCGAUCGCUUUCGGCACCAGAAGCUCCUCAUUGACCUUCUUCGAUAUGCGAAGCAUUCUCUCCAUGUGUCCCGACUUUUCUCAACCAGGAACCUGAGGGUCCAACGUCCACGGAGCGCUCCAUUUUGACCUUGUCCCGCGCACGGUUUCGGUUUUCGAGGUUGGUCUGAUAUUUCUGGGCACGUGCGCUGUAGGUUUUUUUCGAUCGCCGACGAGGCAUGGCGACGCAUGAACAUCGACCGGACAACAUGUAUGAACAAAUCGCGGGUUUGACAGUCAGGCCGUGUUGCAUCUUCAGCCACACGCGCCAGUUGCGAUGUCGCAUGAGAGUUUGACUGAAAAGCUCUAGUGGAAUGUGGAUUUCCAGCAGCAGUGCUUCUGGAGCUCCCCAAAAGACACUUGAUUUGCGAAUUUUGUUCACGCGGGGGAGGCCAGGUAAGCCUUCUUCGAAUGCGAAGCAUUUCGAGCCCCGAUGGCGCCCUGAAUUUUAUACUUUGGAAGAUUCUCGCAGUUGAAGUUUUAUCGUGGGGAGACGCAGAGCACGAUUUCAGAUUUAUGUUUCUCCCCCGAACGCUUCCCCUUCACGCUGCUCGUUCUCCUCUGUUCAAGCGGAUCUUCCUCUUCUUGCAAGUCGGUAUCGUUUCCCAUAUUUGACCCUGGGGAUACCAUGCAUAAGGUCGCUAUGAUCUUCAGCCGUUCCUGUCUUCGGGAUUCAGACGCACCUGAUGGACGGUGGCACAGUGGCGCGUCUCUUCUAUACAUGUAUCUGCUAUUCCUUACGUACCUUUCCGUCACUGUCUCGGUUGCAGGCGCACCAGCGCAGCGAUGCACGCCUCCCUACUCCAUCCCGCGCACAAACAGUGGAGAACCAUGGCAGAUCAGCGCUGGCGAAGUUAGGGCAUGUCUUAGCGAAGAGCGGUGCCAUGAAUGUCAACCGCUGGUCCAUUGCUCCAUGAGCGAAAACGCGGCGUAUAACAGCAGCGAACAGAAAUUUUUCUGGAUUGAGCGCGGGACCACAGACUGAUAUGAAGCGGUACUCAACUCGAAGCUCAGUCGCGUGCUCUUUUGACGCCUUAGAGCAACGAAAAGCGACGGUGUCUAAAACGAGUAUAUGCUGC
RNAcentral lists this unclassified non-coding RNA (1744 nucleotides) under Cyanidioschyzon merolae strain 10D. Its description in RNAcentral is "hypothetical transcript". Lineage: Eukaryota; Rhodophyta; Bangiophyceae; Cyanidiales; Cyanidiaceae. The record is from RNAcentral.